AGUGAACGCUGGCGGUAGGCCUAACACAUGCAAGUCGAACGGCAGCACAGUAAGAGCUUGCUCUUACGGGUGGCGAGUGGCGGACGGGUGAGGAAUACAUCGGAAUCUACUUUUUCGUGGGGGAUAACGUAGGGAAACUUACGCUAAUACCGCAUACGACCUACGGGUGAAAGCAGGGGAUCUUCGGACCUUGCGCGAUUGAAUGAGCCGAUGUCGGAUUAGCUAGUUGGCGGGGUAAAGGCCCACCAAGGCGACGAUCCGUAGCUGGUCUGAGAGGAUGAUCAGCCACACUGGAACUGAGACACGGUCCAGACUCCUACGGGAGGCAGCAGUGGGGAAUAGUGGACAAUGGGCGCAAGCCUGAUCCAGCCAUACCGCGUGGGUGAAGAAGGCCUUCGGGUUGUAAAGCCCUUUUGUUGGGAAAGAAACGCAGCAGCUUAAUACCCAGCUGUUCUGACGGUACCCAAAGAAUAAGCACCGGCUAACUUCGUG
This 492-nucleotide ribosomal RNA is filed under the name uncultured bacterium. RNAcentral's name for it is "partial 16S ribosomal RNA". It matches the Rfam family "Bacterial small subunit ribosomal RNA", at positions 29 to 507 of the family's 1533-position model. The record is from RNAcentral.